This 441-nucleotide ribosomal RNA is filed under the name uncultured bacterium. RNAcentral describes it as "SSU rRNA". It matches the Rfam family "Bacterial small subunit ribosomal RNA", at positions 26 to 518 of the family's 1533-position model. The record is from RNAcentral.
AGAGCGAACGCUGGCGGCAGGCCUAACACAUGCAAGUCGAGCGCCCCGCAGGGGGAGCGGCAGACGGGAGAGUAACACGUGGGAACGUACCCUUCAGUUCGGAACAACCCAGGGAAACUUGGGCUAAUACCGAAUACGUCCGUAAGGAGAAAGAUUUAUCGCUGAAGGAUCGGCCCGCGUCUGAUUAGCUUGUUGGUGAGGUAACGGCUCACCAAGGCGACGAUCAGUAGCUGGUCUGAGAGGAUGAUCAGCCUCACUGGGACUGAGACACGGCCCAGACUCCUACGGGAGGCAGCAGUGGGGAAUAUGGACAAUGGGCGCAAGCCUGAUCCAGCCAUGCCGCGUGGGUGAUGAAGGCCCUAGGGUUGUAAAGCCCUUUCGGCGGGGAAGAUAAUGACGGUACCGCAGAAGAAGCCCGGCUAACUUCGUGCCAGCAGCCGC